GAUGAACGCUGGCGGCGUGCCUAAUACAUGCAAGUCGAACGAAACUUCUUUAUCACCGAGUGCUUGCGCUCACCGAUAAAGAGUUGAGUGGCGAACGGGUGAGUAACACGUGGGCAACCUGCCCAAAGGAGGGGGAUAACACUUGGAAACAGGUGCUAAUACCGCAUAACCAUAGUUACCGCAUGGUAACUAUGUAAAAGGUGGCUAUACUACCGCUUUUGGAUGGGCCCGCGGCGCAUUAGCUAGUUGGUAGGGUAAAGGCUUACCAAGGCAAUGAUGCGUAGCCGAAUUGAGAGGUUGAUCGGCCACAUUGGGACUGAGACACGGCCCAAACUCCUACGGGAGGCAGCAGUAGGGAAUCUUCCACAAUGGGCGAAAGCCUGAUGGAGCAACGCCGCGUGGGUGAAGAAGGUCUUCGGAUCGUAAAACCCUGUUGUUAGAGAAGAAAGUGCGUGAGAGUAACUGUUCACGUUUCGACGGUAUCUAACCAGAAAGCCACGGCUAACUACGUG
This 512-nucleotide ribosomal RNA is filed under the name uncultured bacterium. Its description in RNAcentral is "partial 16S ribosomal RNA". It matches the Rfam family "Bacterial small subunit ribosomal RNA", at positions 28 to 507 of the family's 1533-position model. The record is from RNAcentral.